CAGGGAGACAAUUAAUAGAUUGUGAUGUCUGAUCAAUUUAUAUUAGGCCGCAAUCCUGUCACCUUAAGGUCGAUCGGUACCUCAGAUUUUGUUUUAAUUUUAUAAUUAAUUCUUUAAUUUCAGUUCCUAAACUUGUCUAGGUCACACCCAACAAGGGUUUCUCCUGGGCCAUUAGCUCAGGUGGUUAGAGCGCACCCCUGAUAAGGGUGAGGUCCCUGGUUCAAGUCCAGGAUGGCCCAUUCGUUGUUGGGGGUAUAGCUCAGUUGGUAGAGCGCCUGCUUUGCAAGCAGGAUGUCAGCGGUUCGAGUCCGCUUACCUCCACUGAAACCUACCCUGGUAACUAAUUUCGGGAGAAAAACGGUAAAUGUGACUUAGAUUGUCUAUUGAAAAGAACCUAGCUUCUUAUCAUCUUUAUUUAGUUGAUAACAUGCUGGGCUCGCAUGGAUUUAUUUCAUGGGAAUUCAGUAGAACCUUGAAAACUGCAUAGAUUUAGAAAGAAUAAAGCAUCUCAUGGAUGCAUAGUUCUGUAUUAGUAAUUGGUACAAAAGACCAAAUUAUCGUCAGGCAGAAUUCAUGUUUAAUUCUUGAGUAAUAGCCAAGCACAAUUGAGUUUGUGAUUGUAUUUAA
Molecule: transfer RNA, 627 nt
Filed under: uncultured cyanobacterium
Lineage: Bacteria; Bacillati; Cyanobacteriota
Description: partial contains 16S ribosomal RNA, 16S-23S ribosomal RNA intergenic spacer, and 23S ribosomal RNA
Rfam family: tRNA (bases 249-321)
Source: RNAcentral